This is a long non-coding RNA of Suricata suricatta (meerkat), 491 nucleotides long. RefSeq lists it as uncharacterized. The record is from RefSeq and is a predicted model, not a curated record. NCBI's taxonomy places the organism in Eukaryota, Metazoa, Chordata, Mammalia, Carnivora, Herpestidae. The transcript is spliced from 3 exons.
GAUGGUUGGCUGCCUGGCUGAAAUGAAGAACUCAGUUCCCAGGACAUUGCUGAGUACUGACAGGACCCUUUUCCUUGUGGUGCCUCAGCUCUGAAUAUCGAUCAGGGAUGGAAGGUCAGGCGGUGGAUUGCAGCUGUCACUCUUGCAGUGAGCUUAUCGCUUCUCCGAUAGCUCUGGAAGCAUUUCCCCGUCUGUUAGGGACGGUUAGCUCUCUGUUGCCUGCCGCUAUCAAGUGGAAGCAUUCAGCCAGCCGAUUCUCCAGGGGUCUCCUGACGGCCUCCUUCACGCAGCCAGGCCCAGGCCAGCCCUGGGGACUUCAUCUCCUGUGUGUCCACAGUACAACGUUCUUGUCCCUGGUGUUCCCUCUCUGUGGAAAAGAAGAAAACCUGCUCUCCGAAGACAAGGCAUUGAUCUAUCAACGAUAUUAUAAUAAAUCAUAACAGGCUGUGCUCACGGUAAUAAAUUCAGAAACUAUUGUUCUUUUGAUCUUA